This 253-nucleotide ribosomal RNA is filed under the name uncultured bacterium. RNAcentral's name for it is "partial 16S ribosomal RNA". It matches the Rfam family "Bacterial small subunit ribosomal RNA", at positions 524 to 776 of the family's 1533-position model. The record is from RNAcentral.
UACGUAGGGCGCAAGCGUUGUCCGGAAUUAUUGGGCGUAAAGAGCUCGUAGGCGGUUUGUCGCGUCUGCUGUGAAAUCCUGAGGCUCAACCUCGGGCUUGCAGUGGGUACGGGCAGACUAGAGUGCGGUAGGGGUGACUGGAAUUCCUGGUGUAGCGGUGGAAUGCGCAGAUAUCAGGAGGAACACCGAUGGCGAAGGCAGGUCACUGGGCCGCAACUGACGCUGAGGGGCGAAAGCAUGGGGAGCGAACAGG